RNAcentral lists this ribosomal RNA (3117 nucleotides) under Arcanobacterium bovis. RNAcentral's name for it is "23S ribosomal RNA". It matches the Rfam family "Bacterial large subunit ribosomal RNA". The record is from RNAcentral. Lineage: Bacteria; Bacillati; Actinomycetota; Actinomycetes; Actinomycetales; Actinomycetaceae.
AGUGGACGCGAGCAUCUUUGGUUUUUUGUAAGUGUUUAAGAGCGUUCGGUGGAUGCCUUGGCAUGUAGAGCCGAUGAAGGACGUUGUAGCCUGCGAUAAGCCUCGGGGAGUUGGCAAACGAGCUGUGAUCCGAGGGUGUCCGAAUGGGGAAACCUGGCCAGAGUUAUGUCUGGUUACCUGCAUCUGAAUGUAUAGGGUGUGUGGGGGUAACGUCGGGAAGUGAAACAUCUUAGUACCGGCAGGAAAAGAUAUUCUGUGAGUAGUGGCGAGCGAAAGCGGAUGAGGCUAAACCGGGUGUGUGUGAUAGCUGUCGGGCGUUGCAUAUCCGGGGUUGUGGGGCGUGCUUGUAGGUCUUCCGAUAGGGGCCUGGGGAGUUAUAAAACCGCAGUGUAGUUGAACAGGGUGGGAAACCUGACCGUAGAGGGUGAUAGUCCCGUAGGUGAAAUGUUGUGGUCUUCUUUGAGUGUGUUGCCCAAGUAGCACGGGACUCGUGAAAUUUCGUGUGAAUCUGCACAGACCACUGUGUAAGCCUAAAUACUCUGCGUGACCGAUAGUGGAUAGUACCGUGAGGGAAUGGUGAAAAGUACCCCGGGAGGGGAGUGAAAUAGUUCCUGAAACCGGACGCUUACAAUCCGUCAGAGCCUUCUUGGUGGGGGUGAUGGCGUGCCUUUUGAAGAAUGAGCCUGCGAGUUAGUGGCAUGUAGCGAGGUUAACCUGUGUGGGGUAGCCGUAGCGAAAGCGAGUUUUAAAAUGCGUUGUAGUUGCAUGUUCUAGACCCGAAGCGGGGUGAUCUACCCAUGGGCAGUGUGAAGCACGUGUAAGAGCGUGUGGAGGCGCGAACCCACUUCAGUUGAAAAUGGAGGGGAUGACCUGUGGGUAGGGGUGAAAGGCCAAUCAAACUCCGUGAUAGCUGGUUCUCCCCGAAAUGCAUUUAGGUGCAGCGUUGUGUGUGCUUUGUGGAGGUAGAGCUACUGGAUGGCCGAUGGCCCUGACCGGGGUACUGACGUCAGCCAAACUCCGAAUGCCAUAAAGUUGAGCAUGGCAGUGAGACUGCGGGGGAUAAGCUCCGUAGUCGAGAGGGAAACAGCCCAGACCAUCGGUUAAGGCCCCUAAGCGUGUGCUAAGUGGGAAAGGAUGUGGAGUUGCUGUGACAACCAGGAGGUUGGCUUAGAAGCAGCCAUCCUUGAAAGAGUGCGUAAUAGCUCACUGGUCAAGUGAUUCUGCGCCGACAAUGUAGCGGGGCUAAGUACACCGCCGAAACCGUGGCAGCACAAGUUUUUUUGUGUUGGGUAGGGGAGCGUCGUGCGUGAGGUGAAGCAGUUGUGUGAAUUGCUGUGGAUUUCGUACGAGUGAGAAUGCAGGCAUGAGUAACGAAUGAUGGGUGAGAAUCCCGUCCGCCGAAUGACUAAGGGUUCCAGGGCCAGGUUCUUCCGCCCUGGGUUAGUCGGGUCCUAAGGCGAGGCCGACAGGCGUAGUCGAUGGGCAACCAGUUGUUAUUCUGGUACCGGUGAAAGACCGUUCAGUGUUGAAGCUUGUGAUACUAACCAUCCUUGAUGCUGUGUGAUCCUUUCGGGGGUUGUGUGGUUGAUGGCGUGGGAUCUGAACUUGUGUGUAGGCAAGCGUGUUAACAGGGGUGACGCACAGUGGUAGCUUCCGCGUGGCUUAUGGCUUGCCACGUUUAACAGCGCAGCCCGUUGGAUAGGUAAAUCCGUCCGGCAUAUAGGGUGAGGCUGGAUGAUGACCCAAUUUUUUGGGGAAGUAGGGUGAUCCUGUGGUGCCUAGAAAAACCUCGACGCGAGGUCUGAGCCGCCCGUACCCUAAACCGACACAGGUGGUCGAGUAGAGUAUACUAAGGCGUUCGAGUGAAUCGUGGUUAAGGAACUCGGCAAAAUGCCCCCGUAACUUUGGAAGAAGGGGGGCCUGAUCCUUGAAGCCUGUACGGGCUAGGGGUGAUGGCCGCAGAAACCAGGGAGAAGCGACUGUUUAUCAAAAACAUAGGUCCGUGCGAACACGUAAGUGGAUGUAUACGGACUGACGCCUGCCCGGUGCUGGAAGGUUAAGAGGAACGGUUAAAACCCUUUUGGGUUUGAAGCUGUGAAUUUAAGCCCCAGUAAACGGCGGUGGUAACUAUAACCAUCCUAAGGUAGCGAAAUUCCUUGUCGGGUAAGUUCCGACCUGCACGAAUGGCGUAACGACUUCUCCACUGUCUCAACCGCGAACUCGGUGAAAUUGCAUUACGAGUAAAGAUGCUCGUUACGCGCAGAAGGACGGAAAGACCCCGGGACCUUUACUAUAGCUUGGUAUUGGUGUUUGGUACGGUUUGUGUAGGAUAGGUGGGAGACUGUGAAGCAUGCACGCCAGUGUGUGUGGAGUCAUUGUUGAAAUACCACUCUGAUCGUGCUGGAUGUCUAACCUUGGACCAUGAUCUGGUUCAGGGACAGUGCCUGGUGGGUAGUUUAACUGGGGCGGUUGCCUCCUAAAAUGUAACGGAGGCGCUCAAAGGUUCCCUCAGCCUGGUUGGUAAUCAGGUGGCGAGUGCAAGUGUACAAGGGAGCUUGACUGUGAGACUGACAGGUCGAGCAGGUGCGAAAGCAGGAACUAGUGAUCCGGCGGUGGCUUGUGGAAGCGCCGUCGCUCAACGGAUAAAAGGUACCCCGGGGAUAACAGGCUGAUCCUGCCCAAGAGUUCAUAUCGACGGCAUGGUUUGGCACCUCGAUGUCGGCUCGUCGCAUCCUGGGGCUGGAGUAGGUCCCAAGGGUUGGGCUGUUCGCCCAUUAAAGCGGCACGCGAGCUGGGUUCAGAACGUCGUGAGACAGUUCGGUCCCUAUCCUCUGCGCGCGUUGGAAACUUGAAAAGGGCUGUCCCUAGUACGAGAGGACCGGGACGGACGAACCUCUGGUGUGCCAGUUGUACCGCCAGGUGCAUGGCUGGUUGGCUACGUUCGGAAAGGAUAACCGCUGAAAGCAUCUAAGUGGGAAGCCUGCUUUAAGAUAAGGUUUCCAUACAACCUUUGGGUUGUGUGAGGCCCCCUAUAGACCAUGGGGUUGAUAGGCCAGACGUGGAAGCCUGGUAACGGGUGGAGCUGACUGGUACUAAUGGCCGAUCACCUACAAAAAA